Molecule: small RNA, 22 nt
Filed under: Arabidopsis thaliana (thale cress)
Lineage: Eukaryota; Viridiplantae; Streptophyta; Magnoliopsida; Brassicales; Brassicaceae
Description: ATSL148800
Source: RNAcentral
AACAGAGCUUGGUAAGAACCAA